Molecule: long non-coding RNA, 842 nt
Filed under: Homo sapiens (human)
Lineage: Eukaryota; Metazoa; Chordata; Mammalia; Primates; Hominidae
Description: HSALNT0290091
Source: RNAcentral
ACCAACAGGGCCAGACGAUCAGAAAAGUGCCCCGGGCUCUGCUGCCCUUGGAGAGUCAGGGCUGGGGGCCGAGAGCAAGGGUCCAGGGCAUGGAGGGCCCUCCCGCCUGGGUUUUUGCUUACAGAUGGAGAAGUGGGAUUAUUAAGCCAGAGGGUGUGCUUCAGAAGGUGUGCUUACGAAGGGGCUUUCGGGUCACAAUGCAGAGAACUUCCUCGCAGUGAGCAGCCUUGGGUCCUGGGGUAAUACAGCCAGCCCAGGUAGAGGACCAUGGAGUUGGCCUGGGUCUCCCUCUGGCCUGGCCCUGGCUGGCCACCUUCGCCGAAGGGGAGGGAAUGGUCGCUGCCCUCCCCCACCAUUUCCAGGGUCAGGUGCCAGACCUGGGCCUCAUCUGCCUUUGCAGGGCAUUUGGGAAGCACUUAGCCAGGCCUGACAGUGGCCAGGCUGCUUCAUAAGACGCCUGGUGCACUAAAGAAGACUAGCAAAGCAGGGGGCGGACUAAAGUGGGCGGGAAAUGCUGCUUUCAUGCAUCUGCGUGUUGACAGCUAAUGAGGAAGAAAGGGAAGGCCCCUUCCCAUACAGGGCUGGAAAACGUGCAAAAAAAAUGCCCAUGGCCUGAGACCAGGCGCUACAGGCUAUGGGCAGGACAAGCCUGGGCCUCCCUUCCCGGGUCUGUCCUGGGCUCCCUGGCUGCUGUGGGUCCCCCCAGGCAAGAUACUCACCCCACUGGGAUGGCUGAGCAGAGAGCUGGAGGCAGCAAAUGGAAGCACCAUCUACUGGGAACCUCAUGUCCCUAAAGAAUAAGCAGGUUGCUUCUGUCACCACUUUUUUCAAUUUAAAGGAGA